GGUUAAGUGAAUAAGGGCGCACAGUGGAUGCCUUGGCACUAGGAGCCGAUGAAGGACAGGACUAACACCGAUAUGCUUUGGGGGAGCUGUAAGUAAGCUAUGAUCAGAGAUUUCCAGAUAGGGGGACCAAUAUCUUUUAUAGGAUAUUACUUUUCAGUGAAUACAUAGCUGAUUAGAGGUAGACGCAGAGAACUGAAACAUCUUAGUACCUACAGGAAGAGAAAGAAAAUUCGAUUCCCUGAGUAGCGGCAGAGCGAGAACAGGGAAGAGCCCAAACCAACAAGCUUGCUUGUUGGGGUUAUGAGACUCAAUAUGGUAGUCUGUUAGUAUAGUUGAAAGGAUUUGGAAAAUUCCGCUAAAGAGGUGAAAGCCCGUAGACGAAAUGCUGACAACACCUAGGAGGAUCCUGGUACGGCGGAACACGAAAUUCCGUCCGGAAUCCGCGGGGACCAUCCCGCAAGGCUAAAUACUCCCUAGUGACCGAUAGUGAACCAGUACCGUGAGGGAAAGGUGAAAAGCACCCCGGAAGGGGAGUGAAAUAGAUCCUGAAACCGUGUGCCUACAACAAGUCAAAGCUCGUUAAUGAGUGAUGGCGUGCCUUUUUGUAGAAUGAACCGGCGAGUUACGAUUGCAUGCGAGGUUAAGUCGAAGAGACGGAGCCCGCAGCGAAAGCGGAGUCUGAAUAGGGCGAAUGAGUAUGUGGUCGUAGACCCGAAACCAUGUGAUCUACCCAUGUCCAGGUUGAAGGUGCGGUAAAAACGCACUGGAGGACCGAACCCACGUACGUUGAAAAGUGCAGGGGAUGAGGUGUGGGUAGCGGAGAAAUUCCAAACGAACUUGGAGAUAGCUGGUUCUCUCUCAGAAAUAGCUUUAGGGCUAGCCUCGGAAUUGAGAAUGAUGGAGGUAGAGCACUGUUUGGACUAGGGGCCCCAUCUCAGGUUACCAAUUCAGAUAAACUCGAAUGCCAUUCAUUUAUAUCCGGGAGUCAGACUGCGAGUGAUAAGAUCCGUAGUCGAAAGGAAACAGCCCAGACCACCAGCUAAGGUCCCAAAAUAUAUGUUAAGUGGAAAAGGAUGUGGGGUUGCACAGACAACUAGGAUGUUGGCUUAGAAGCGACCACCAUUUAAAGAGUGCGUAAUAGCUCACUAGUCAGUGACCCUGCGCCGAAAAAUGUACCGGGGCUAAACAUAUUACCGAAGCUGUGGACUACACCAUUAGGUGUAGUGGUAGGAGAAGCGUUCUAAGGGCGUUGAAGGUCGAUCGUGAGGACGGCUGGAGCGCUUAGAAGUGAGAAUGCCGGUAUGAGUAGCGAAAGACAGGUGAGAAUCCUGUCCACCGUAUGACUAAGGUUUCCUGGGAAGGCUCGUCCGCCCAGGGUUAGUCAGGACCUGAAGCCGAGGCCGAUAGGCGUAGGCGAUGGACAACAGGUUGAUAUUCCUGUACCAGUUGUUUUUGUUUGAGCAAUGGAGGGACGCAUGUAGGCUAAAGGAAUGCAUGCGAUUGGAAGUCGCAUGUCAAGCAAUGAGUCUUGAGUAGAGUUAAAUGCUUUACUCUCUAAGGACAAGUUGUGACGAGGGGCGAAAUAAUAGUAGCGAAGUUCCUGAUGUCACACUGCCAAGAAAAGCUUCUAGUGAGAAAACAACUGCCCGUACCGUAAACCGACACAGGUAGUCGAGGAGAGUAUCCUAAGGUGAGCGAGCGAACUCUCGUUAAGGAACUCGGCAAAAAUGACCCCGUAACUUCGGGAGAAGGGGUGCUGACUUCGGUCAGCCGCAGUGAAUAGGCCCAAGCGACUGUUUAUCAAAAACACAGGUCUCUGCAAAAUCGUAAGAUGAAGUAUAGGGCUGACGCCUGCCCGGUGCUGGAAGGUUAAGAGGAUGGGUUAGCUUCGGCGAAGCUCAGAAUUGAAGCCCCAGUAAACGGCGGCCGUAACUAUAACGGUCCUAAGGUAGCGAAAUUCCUUGUCGGGUAAGUUCCGACCCGCACGAAAGAGCGUAACGAUUUGGGCACUGUCUCAACGAGAGACUCGGUGAAAAUUUUAGUACCUGUGAAGAUGCAGGUUACCCGCGACAGGACGGAAAGACCCCAUGGAGCUUUACUGUAGUUUGAUAUUGAGUGUUUGUACCACAUGUACAGGAUAGGUAGGAGCCGAUGAGACCGGAAACGCUAGUUUCGGAGGAGGCGCUGGUGGGAUACUACCCUUGUGUUAUGAACCCUCUAACCCGCACCACUAAUCGUGGUGGGAGACAGUGUCAGAUGGGCAGUUUGACUGGGGCGGUCGCCUCCUAAAAAGGUAACGGAGGCGCCCAAAGGUUCCCCCUCAGAAUGGUUGGAAAUCAUUCGAAGAGUGUAAAGGCAGAAGGGAGCUUGACUGCGAGACCUACAAGUCGAGCAGGGACGAAAAGAUCGAGGCUUAGUGAUCCGGUGGUUCCGCAUGGAAGGGCCAUCGCUCAACGGAUAAAAAAGCUACCCUGGGGAUAACAGGCUUAUCUCCCCAAGAGUCCACAUCGACGGGGAGGUUUGGCACCUCGAUGUCGGCUCGUCGCAUCCUGGGGCUGUAGUCGGUCCCAAGGGUUGGGCUGUUCGCCCAUUAAAGCGGCACGCGAGCUGGGUUCAGAACGUCGUGAGACAGUUCGGUCCCUAUCCGUCGCGGGCGUUGGAAAUUUGAGAGGAGCUGUCCUUAGUACGAGAGGGACCGGGAUGGACUUACCGCUGGUGUACCAGUUGUUCUGCCAAAGGGCAUUGCUGGGUAGCUAUGUAGGGAAGGGAUAAACGCUGAAAAGCAUCUAAGUGUGAAGCCCACCUCAAGAUGAGAUUUCCCAUUUCUUUAAGAAAGUAAGACCCCUGAGAGAUGAUCAGGUAGAUAGGUUGGAAGUGGAAGGCUAGUGAUAGUUGGAGCGGACCAAUACUAAUCGGUCGAGGACUUAACCAA
RNAcentral lists this ribosomal RNA (2932 nucleotides) under Enterococcus faecalis. Its description in RNAcentral is "23S ribosomal RNA". It matches the Rfam family "Bacterial large subunit ribosomal RNA". The record is from RNAcentral. Lineage: Bacteria; Bacillati; Bacillota; Bacilli; Lactobacillales; Enterococcaceae.